This 5946-nucleotide long non-coding RNA is filed under the name Sus scrofa (pig). Its description in RNAcentral is "lncRNA (ENSSSCG00000061369.1)". Lineage: Eukaryota; Metazoa; Chordata; Mammalia; Artiodactyla; Suidae. The record is from RNAcentral.
AUUCCUGAACGUGAGUUCAAGAGCAAAUGCCUCCUCUUUGGGAAAAGCUCCUACUUGGGAGGGUUUUAAUAUCUUGUGGUUUCAAUCUCUCACAUUUUACUGAACUAUGUCCUUAUUAGGGUCUCAAAUUUCCCGGGCACCACAAGGCUACCCCGGCUCAGAUUUAAUCAGCAGCAGACAUCCAUCAAGAGGACGGAAGGGCCAUCCCUGCCCCCUCGGAGCCCUCCCAUUAAUGAAAUAUUCACCAAGAAAACAGUGCCAGAAUGCAAACAAACAGUAUUGACCAUAUCCUUGCCCCACUUCUAACCUCCUGUGAUCCUUGGCUUCUGUUCAGUAAUUGUAUUUAUUUUGAUUUCAUUAAAAAAUGUGAGAGAUGGAAUUUCACUUAGGCCUGAAGUUCAAAGAUUUAUAGCCCAGAUAUACCAGAGAGAAUUGUCUCAGAGUCUGUAUCAGUUUGGGGUUAGAUGCCCUCAUCUACUUGGGAUGUUUUCCAAAUGUUCCUCGUACUUUCUCAGCAAUUUACAAACAAUUUAGAAGAUACUAUCACCAUCAUCUUUCUCAUCUGAUCUCAAUAAUUGUGCAUUAGGUGUGGUCAGUCUCGUUUUACAAAUCUCAUCUUCUCAUUUCUCCAGAUUUGUGGGAUUAAAGGUAAAAUGCUUCAGACAUAUCACAGAUUGAAAUAAGCAAUUUAUUCCAUUUAUUGACAUCCACAUGAUCCAAGUGCCAGGCCCACAAUGUAAAGAUGAGCCAUAGUCCCAGCAGUGUCAUGGAUAUUACAUGUGUCAGGGAACACAUUCAAUUUUCACUAGUACAAUUUAAAUCAUGAGUCCAAUUAGAAAAUAAUUCACAAGUCUGUGUCACUGGACAUUGUUUAUUUAUUUACUUAUUUUGGUCUUUUUGUCUUUUUUUAGGGCUGCACCCGUGGCAUAUGGAAGUUCCCAGGCUAAGGGUCCAGUCGGAACUGUAGCUGCUGGCCUAUGCCAGAGCCACAGCAACACAGGAUCCGAGACGCAUCUCUGACCUACACCACAGCUCACGGCAACGCCAGAUCCUUAACCCACUGAGUGAAGCCAGGGAUUGAACCUGCAUCCUCAUGGACGCUAGUUGGGUUAAUUAACUGCUGAGCCACAAUGGUAUUUCCUGUCACCGGACAUUGUUACAUAUACUCCCAUGAUUAGAACUCCCAUCACCAUGACUCUCCAUUCUCUAUGCCCCUGAGUCCAUAAACCACAUUGUCUGCACACAGUGGGGUGAGCUGUAACCAAAGCUCCAUUACUGGGUGGCCUUUCAUCCUCCUCCUGAGCCUUAUCUGGCAGGACUCCAUCAGGAGUCAUUUUGGCAUGGCAGGAUGCCAUUCUAAAAAAAAAUGACUGUACCAUAAAACCAUGUAGAAUAUAUUCCAAACUUCUUUUUUUUUUUUUUUUUUUUGUCUUUUGUCGUUGUUGUUGUUGUUGCUAUUUCUUGGGCCACUCCCGCGGCAUAUGGAGGUUCCCAGGCUAGGGGUUGAAUCGGAGCUGUAGCCACCGGCCUACACCAGAGCCACAGCAACGCGGGAUCCGAGCCGCGUCUGCAACCUAUACCACAGCUCAUGGCAACGCCGGAUCGUUAACCCACUGAGCAAGGGCAGGGACCGAACCCGCAACCUCAUGGUUCCUGGUCGGAUUCGUUAACCACUGCGCCACGACGGGAACUCCUAUUCCAAACUUCUAAAGAGAGAUGAGAAAACUUGAAGUUUGGAAGUUUAGUACAUAACCAAAAUGGAGGAGAAUCACGAUUACAUGACCAAGAGCCCCUUUUUAGCUUAGUGAUCAGCAGAUCUGACUGAUAAGUCAAGAGCAUAGGACAGAAAAGCUGAGAUGAGACACUAAGCAUAUCCUCCAGGAACAGGAGCAAGUCAUGUGCUAUGCAGAGACAUGGAUUGAAGACGCCGAGUUUAGAGAACAUAUAUUGAAAAUGAGGACAUAUGGAAAGGAAGCCAUGUGCACCCACAAAGCUGGUCAAGUUCAGUGAAGUCAGUAUUUCAAGUUUGUAUGUGUGUGUCUUGACAGAGUGCCUCAGCUUCCAACAGAGUGCCUGGUGCAUAGGGGCACUUGGUAGCAUUUGCCAGGAGAUAAUACACUGCAGAUGAGUUCCAGGGCAACUGAAUUGCUGGGGCAUCUAGGUCAGAGUGUUUUCUCAAUAAAAGUAGGGUAUUUAAUUUUCAAGUCUUUCUUCAUUAUGGAAGUCUGACUGACACAUUGCAUGAUAAUCAUACAAUAUAACAGCUGUUAUUAUAAUGCUCUUCUUCAGUGUUUUUUUGCCUUUUCUUUUCAUCAUGAAUUGAAAGCAAAAUCCCUAAAGGUAACCUCAGUGAUUUUUUUCCUCUUUCUCUCCUUUGAUUCAUGCUGAGAACAGCUCUGACGUUCAUUGUGGAGGGGAUUGGUUCCCAUUUCCUCUUCCUAUUUUCAUCAGAUGAGGACAAUUUUUAAAGUCCUUAAUUGUUGAGAGUGGGCAUGGUAUUAGCACCAAUUUAUGACUUUAUCCUAAUGCGUCCCAUAUUUAGAGUGACAGACUCUGUGAGAUUUAAGAUUGUGAGACAUAAACAAGGGUGCCAGAGUUAUUUAUGGAGAUGGUCAAUGUCAUCACCCCAUGAUGCCUUCAAAAUUGAACUCACAGCUUUCAGCUAUGAUGAAAUGGCCUCAUUGUUUCUUUCUCUCUUGACGUAUCUGACAAUUCUUCCAUCAUCCUUCUCAUAUAAGAGCUUUAUAAUAAUUAAAUAGAUGCAAGAGCUGACACUUUAGGGGAAAAAUCAACCACAAUUAUAUGGAUAUACUUGGCAAGUAUAAAUGAAGGGAAAAAAAAACAGAAUAUAAAUAUAAAAAAGCAAACACAAGAAAGGGUUCCUAACCACAGAUGUGGACUUCAAAUUUUUUUAGGAAAUCAUUAAGAAUAAAAUUACAUUAAUAUGUUUAAAAUCUCUAUGAAAGUAUUUUCCAGGGAAAGAGAAAUUACCAAGAUUAACUAAAGGAAGAUAAAGCUUGAACAGAGUCAUAGUCAUAGAAAUAAAUGUGACAGGAACAUGGCAGAAUGUUUCUGUGGUGAUAAAACUGUUAUUUUUUUUAAAGAUUGCUACAUUGAGAUAAUCAUUGGGUAAACUGUUCCAGAGAAUAUAUAAAUGUGAAAAAUUUCCCAAAUCACUUUUAAUGUUGGUAUAACAGUGGUAUCUAAAUCUGAAAAUACUAAACCAAAGUAGAAAUCUCUAGGCUGAGCUCAGUUAUAGAUAGCAAGGCAAAAUUUGUAAAUCAGUGACUAGCAAAUAGAAUUGAGGAAAAUACUGAAAGACUAACAUUCCAUGUCUAAGUUUUCCUCUGGAAUACAUUGCCGAUAGGUUAAAAAAAAAUCUGUUAGGAGGCCACCUAAAAUAAAUUGGCCAAAGGGGGAAUGAUACAAGUUCAUUUUAAGAAAUAAAAAAGUUAUGAUUGGAUACAUUUCAACAUAUAUUCUUAAGAAAACUGUAGGUAAAUCAAUAAUGAAAAUGACAAAAAAAUAAAAUCUGAUGAAAUUCACAAGGGGCCAUUAAUUAUAAUGGUGAAAUUCUUGAGGCAUUGCUCUUGAAGUCAUAUGCAAUAAUAGUCUUUUAUUAUUCACCAUUUUCUGGAAGUCCCAGCCACUACACUGAGAUAUGGAGAGGGAAAUAAUGAAUAUACCAAUUACUAAGUAAGUGAAAGGCAGAGAUGUUUGAAUUGGUUGCCUUAUUAAUUUCAAUGGCUUUCUAGUGUUAUAUUCAAAUACAAUAUUUGGCAUUGAAACAUGAAGUUGGGAGCCUUUUCUCCAACAGGAAAAGCAAAUGGUGCCAUAUUCCUCUUUAUUCUCUGUUAUGGGCUGAACUGUGUCUCCAAAAUUCAUAUGUUGAUGUCAUAACCCCCCGGUACCUCAAAUGUGACUGGAUUUAGAAAUACACCCUUUAAGGAGGUAACUAAGUUAAAAUAGUCAGUAGGAUGGGUGCUCAUACAGUAUGACUGGUGUCCCUAUAAGAAGAGAUUAAAAUACAGAGAGAGACUAGACACAUGCACAUACAGAGGGACAAUAAUAUGAACACACAGUGAAAAGGCAGCCCUUGCAAGCCAAGGACAGAAGCCUCAGAAGAUACCAGCCCUGCUGGCACGUUGAUCUUGGACACUGAGCCUCCAGAAAUGGGAGAAAUGAAAUUCUGUUGGUUAAGCCACUAAGACGGUGGUAUUUUGUUACGGCAGCCCGACACACAGUAUAUCCUUUUUCUCACUAAGUUCUUGUGUUUCAGGUGAGGUCCAGUGUCCUUAACCUCAUGGCCUUAGCUCCCAGUGGUAAGAUCGAGUCUUUAUGACCCAAUCUGGUACACAGAUAUUCAGUAGCACAGACCUAGGGAGACAUUUAUGAAUCUCAGUAACUGCCAGUGUGCCUGAUGGAUCUGAUGUCACUCAGUUUUAGAACUCUGUUGCAAACCUAUUAAAUGGCAUCAAAGCUCUUUGAGACCCCAGCAGUUCUUUCAGUGAAAUGGGAGAAGCAGGCAUUUCCUUUCCAAAUUCACACGAACCUCUGUGCUGCAAAAUUCUCAGAUCUAUUUGUCUCUGAUGACUCAUAUGCUGUGGCAAGCAGUGGAUGCUUGGACCUCACUUGGUUCUGUUUCCAAAAGUCCAUCUGAUUUAGUCAAUUGAUUGAGUGUCUUGUCAAACUCUACAUGCUCUAUCUUCCACCCAGCCCCAUAAAGUGGAUUUUAUCAGGUUUUCAGAGACCUUAACCCUCGUUGCCUUUCUUAAACAGCUCUGGCAAGGUACACUCAUGGUGCAAGAAAAAAAGCAUUUCUUAGUUCUGUCUAAGGCACUGAGAACUCCUCCCCAAAUGAAAGACAGUGUUCUAAUGAGGAACAGAUGGAGGACAUAGUGCCUUAGCCAAAAGUCUAGGGAAGUUGAGAAAGAGGAAAAUACCAGUAUUGCCAAAUCCAUCUGAGCUACAAGUUCAAACACAUGUUUCAUUCAACUAUGGUUUGCAUUUUGGUAAUUCAGUAAUUAUGGCAUUGCCCCAUUGAAGAGUUCAUAGUCUUGUAGAGUUAAACAAUAAAUGAAUUUAAUCAAGAAACUGCCACUCUUGAACAUAUUCAACAGAAAUAAAGUCUUCAUUUGUCUUUAGAGCUUAAGUCGCUCUCUUGAAGAGAAACUGCAGUAAUCCAAAUCAAAACCAGUGACCAAUUACCACAUUUCAGCCUAGUGGAAAAAAUAUAAUGUAGAAAGAAACACAUUGAGAGUGUGAUGUCUUUGUUUAUGCAUCAUGCAUACUAGCUUUGCCAUGAAGGCUCUAGGCCAUGUGCUAUGUACCAAGUAUACACAGCAACUGAAGAUUCUUCCACCUCUUUCUUCAUUUGGUGAGAUCUGUGUAGCCUCCAGUCCUUGUUAGUGUGCUUUCCUGUGAAUGGUGCUAAUAGGAGAAAUGACUAGCUGCCUACUGUUCCUGGAAAAAACUUGACAAUAAUAAGAAAAAACUACAAAAGCCGCAAAGUUUCUCUCCCUCGACUUUUUGUGCAGACACCCAUAAAUGAGGGAGGCAAUCCCUCAGGGAGCACUUAGAUUUGAAUGGUGGAAGUCCAUGUACGUAAACCCUUUACCACAAAGCCAAAUCUUUGGAUAUUCAGCAAUGACAAUGAUAUUCACAAGUGACAAGGAGGAAGGGGAGAAGGGAGAAAGGAGCACCUCAGAGGCCCUGGAGUGUCUUAUUCAAACUUUAUCCAUCGUCGGCCUCUCCUUUUUUGAUAGUCCCUCCAUGUCAGUUUUCUGGCCUCAAAUUCUGGAAUUUCCCUGGAGAAGCCAUUUAACAUUGGCAUCAAAUGAAUUGAAAAUAGUCUUUAAAGAAAAUGUUCUUUAAAUGUCUCUGAAUGUUCCAGAUCUUUUUCUCUUAUGUUUAGUCUUUUUUCUAUUAUAAAAGGAAAUCAAGUUC